Molecule: ribosomal RNA, 446 nt
Filed under: uncultured rumen bacterium
Lineage: Bacteria
Description: bacterial SSU rRNA
Rfam family: Bacterial small subunit ribosomal RNA
Source: RNAcentral
GGUAUGGGAUGAGCUUGCGUCCGAUUAGCUAGUUGGCGGGGCAACGGCCCACCAAGGCGACGAUCGGUAGCCGGCCUGAGAGGGUGAUCGGCCACAUUGGGACUGAGAUACGGUCCAGACUCCUACGGGAGGCAGCAGUAGGGAAUAUUGCACAAUGGGGGAAACCCUGAUGCAGCAACGCCACGUGUGGGAAGAAGCAUUUCGGUGUGUAAACCACUGUCAUGAGGGAAUAAGGCCCGCCUUCGGACGGGAUUGAAUGUACCUUGAGAGGAAGCACCGGCAAACUUCGUGCCAGCAGCCGCGGUAAUACGAGGGGUGCAAGCGUUGUUCGGAAUUACUGGGCGUAAAGGGAGCGUAGGCGGAGAUUCAAGCGGAUUGUACAAUCCCGGGGCCCAACCCCGGCUCUGCAGUCCGAACUGGAUCUCUUGGAUAGUUCAGGGGCAGGC